Molecule: ribosomal RNA, 623 nt
Filed under: uncultured bacterium
Lineage: Bacteria
Description: bacterial SSU rRNA
Rfam family: Bacterial small subunit ribosomal RNA (bases 1-541)
Source: RNAcentral
CCUACGGGAGGCAGCAGUGGGGAAUUUUGGACAAUGGGCGCAAGCCUGAUCCAGCAAUGCCGCGUGAGUGAAGAAGGCCUUCGGGUUGUAAAGCUCUUUUGUCAGGGAAGAAAAGGGUCUGGCUAAUAUCUAGGCCUCAUGACGGUACCUGAAGAAUAAGCACCGGCUAACUACGUGCCAGCAGCCGCGGUAAUACGUAGGGUGCAAGCGUUAAUCGGAAUUACUGGGCGUAAAGCGUGCGCAGGCGGUUUUGUAAGACUGUCGUGAAAUCCCCGGGCUCAACCUGGGAAUGGCGAUGGUGACUGCAAGGCUAGAGUUUGGCAGGAGGGGGGUAGAAUUCCACGUGUAGCAGUGAAAUGCGUAGAUAUGUGGAGGAACACCGAUGGCGAAGGCAGCCCCCUGGGUCAAAACUGACGCUCAUGCACGAAAGCGUGGGGAGCAAACAGGAUUAGAUACCCUGGUAGUCCACGCCCUAAACGAUGUCUACUAGUUGUCGGGUCUUAAUUGACUUGGUAACGCAGCUACGCGUGAGUAGACCGCCGUGGGAGGUACGGUCGCGAGAAGUUAAACGUACGAAAGAAGUAGACGCGUGAGAGNGCGACGGACGACGACGAGGGAGGAGG